Molecule: ribosomal RNA, 554 nt
Filed under: Pseudomonas sp.
Lineage: Bacteria; Pseudomonadati; Pseudomonadota; Gammaproteobacteria; Pseudomonadales; Pseudomonadaceae
Description: bacterial SSU rRNA
Rfam family: Bacterial small subunit ribosomal RNA
Source: RNAcentral
GGGUGAGUAAUGCCUAGGAAUCUGCCUGGUAGUGGGGGAUAACGUUCGGAAACGGACGCUAAUACCGCAUACGUCCUACGGGAGAAAGCAGGGGACCUUCGGGCCUUGCGCUAUCAGAUGAGCCUAGGUCGGAUUAGCUAGUUGGUGAGGUAAUGGCUCACCAAGGCGACGAUCCGUAACUGGUCUGAGAGGAUGAUCAGUCACACUGGAACUGAGACACGGUCCAGACUCCUACGGGAGGCAGCAGUGGGGAAUAUUGGACAAUGGGCGAAAGCCUGAUCCAGCCAUGCCGCGUGUGUGAAGAAGGUCUUCGGAUUGUAAAGCACUUUAAGUUGGGAGGAAGGGCAGUAAAUUAAUACUUUGCUGUUUUGACGUUACCGACAGAAUAAGCACCGGCUAACUCUGUGCCAGCAGCCGCGGUAAUACAGAGGGUGCAAGCGUUAAUCGGAAUUACUGGGCGUAAAGCGCGCGUAGGUGGUUUGUUAAGUUGGAUGUGAAAUCCCCGGGCUCAACCUGGGAACUGCAUUCAAAACUGACUGACUAGAGUAUGGUAG